RNAcentral lists this small nucleolar RNA (110 nucleotides) under Malassezia sympodialis ATCC 42132. Its description in RNAcentral is "Small nucleolar RNA Z13/snr52". It matches the Rfam family "Small nucleolar RNA Z13/snr52". Rfam says of the family: Z13 or snr52 is a member of the C/D class of snoRNA which contain the C (UGAUGA) and D (CUGA) box motifs. Most of the members of the box C/D family function in directing site-specific 2'-O-methylation of substrate RNAs. The record is from Rfam by way of RNAcentral. Lineage: Eukaryota; Fungi; Basidiomycota; Malasseziomycetes; Malasseziales; Malasseziaceae.
AGCAGUAUCAGGACGAAACCAUACGGAUGUAAAUGUGGAUCUAUGAUCCCAGCUGUCCGAGAGCGCUUUCUCAUGUGGAUAGUUCCGCUGCCUUCCUACUGAUUCUCUCU